UAUGAACGCUGGUGGCGUGCCUAAUACAUGCAAGUCGAGCGGACCAAAGAGAGCUUGCUCUCUGAGGUUAGCGGCGGACGGGUGAGUAACACGUGGGUAACCUGCCUGUAAGACGGGGAUAACUUCGGGAAACCGAAGCUAAUACCGGAUGAUAAAGAGAAACGCCUGUUUUUCUUUUGAAAGUCGGCCUUGUGCUGACGCUUACAGAUGGGCCCGCGGCGCAUUAGCUAGUUGGUGAGGUAACGGCUCACCAAGGCGACGAUGCGUAGCCGACCUGAGAGGGUGAUCGGCCACACUGGGACUGAGACACGGCCCAGACUCCUACGGGAGGCAGCAGUAGGGAAUCUUCGGCAAUGGACGAAAGUCUGACCGAGCAACGCCGCGUGAGCGAUGAAGGCCUUCGGGUCGUAAAGCUCUGUUGUCAGAGAAGAACAAGUACCGGAGUAACUGCCGGUACCUUGACGGUACCUGACCAGAAAGCCACGGCUAACUACGUGCCAGCAGCCGCAGUAA
Molecule: ribosomal RNA, 513 nt
Filed under: uncultured bacterium
Lineage: Bacteria
Description: partial 16S ribosomal RNA
Rfam family: Bacterial small subunit ribosomal RNA
Source: RNAcentral